AAAACCCCACUUACCAGAAUCGCAUGAUGAACACCAAAAAUAUCAAGAUACGAAGAUACGACAGCAGACAAAAAAAAGAAUUGUAGGAAAGGAAGAGGAAAAAGAAAAUGGUAGAGAACAGAGAAAACUAACGUCGAAUUUUUGGGAAGAGAGAAAUUUUUAAAAAAGAAAUAAAAAAAUAUAAUCAAAUUAGAACCCUCACCAUAUCUCAACUUCUCAUUAUCCUACUAACUAACCUACUAACUCUACACAACUUCAGAAUUUUACUUCCUCCCAACCUCUCACAACCAAAACAAAAAUAUCAUCCAUACUCUUACAGGAAAUCGAACACAAAACCUCCAGCAAGCUAACUCCUUACCACUC
RNAcentral lists this long non-coding RNA (363 nucleotides) under Gossypium raimondii (Peruvian cotton). RNAcentral's name for it is "long non-coding RNA (GRAI_LNC007309)". The record is from RNAcentral. Lineage: Eukaryota; Viridiplantae; Streptophyta; Magnoliopsida; Malvales; Malvaceae.